GUCCAGGAUAGCUGGGAGGAGGGGGAAGCUUCUCGGUAGAUGAAUUGACACUUGAAGCCUCGCUUUGCUUCUGUGGGGCAGGCACUCCAGGCAGCUUACGAGGUUCCUCGGGUGUCCUCUUUUCUCCAGAGUUUUGAGACAAAGACAUUGCUGCUACGGCAGACGCUACCGAUCCUGCUCUUUUUUCCACAGAGCUCUUCCGCUUGGGCAAGGGAAGGGGUACUGAGGACUCAACAGGUUGAGCAGCUGGAGCAGUUACAGGACUAGCGGGACCGUCCUGUAAAUGGAUAUUUGCGUGAACCCAAUCCAAAGCACUCCUUUCAACUACGCCCUCAUCAACAAGGAAUUGGAAGUCGUUGUAGAUUCCACGAAUAACAUGAUUCAGGUAGUUUUUAU
Molecule: non-coding RNA, 396 nt
Organism: Schizosaccharomyces pombe (fission yeast)
Lineage: Eukaryota; Fungi; Ascomycota; Schizosaccharomycetes; Schizosaccharomycetales; Schizosaccharomycetaceae
Source: the annotation of a GenBank genome assembly